GCCCGCCCAAUGCUGCGGACAUAAUAUUUUACAAUCAAAAUAUUUUAUAUUUAUGUGAUUGAAAAAUAAAAAAAAAGCGUAAAAAUAUAUCUAAUUCAGUUUAAUAAAUAUUUCAGAAUAUUUUGCUCAUAUCUUUAUUAAUUGUAAAGUUGACUUUUCAUUAUAUAUAUUGCAUUUAAAUUCUGUGCACAUUGUUUAGUUCAAUUUCAAUUAGUGUUGAUAAUAUAAAAUGAUAAAAUAUUAUUACUUACUUAUUAUACGCUUUAAACUAAA
This 273-nucleotide unclassified non-coding RNA is filed under the name Hevea brasiliensis (rubber tree). The record is from RNAcentral. Lineage: Eukaryota; Viridiplantae; Streptophyta; Magnoliopsida; Malpighiales; Euphorbiaceae.